RNAcentral lists this unclassified non-coding RNA (219 nucleotides) under uncultured Tomentella. RNAcentral describes it as "sequence contains ITS2". Lineage: Eukaryota; Fungi; Basidiomycota; Agaricomycetes; Thelephorales; Thelephoraceae. The record is from RNAcentral.
ACACCUCAACUCUCAUGGUCCACCAUGACGAGCUUGGACUUUGGGGGUCUUGCCGGCCUAUCGCCGGCUCCUCUCAAACAGAUCAGCUUGCCAGCGUUUGGUGGCAUCACGGGUGUGAUAACUAUCUACGCUUGUGGUUUCCCACCAGGUAACCUUCAGUGGAUGGAGGUUCGCUGGGGCUCAUAAACGUCUCUCCUCAGUGAGGACAGCUCUUUGAAC